CAGGGGGAUAAUCGUCGGAAACGGCGUCUAAUACCCCGUAUGAAGCUGGACGGCAUCGUCUGGUUUUGAAAGAAUAUCGGAGACGGAUGGGCAUGCGGCGCAUUAGCUAGUUGGCGGGGUAACGGCCCACCAAGGCGACGAUGCGUAGGGGUUCUGAGAGGAAGGUCCCCUACACUGGUACUGAGACACGGACCAGACUCCUACGGGAGGCAGCAGUGAGGAAUAUUGGUCAAUGGGCGAGAGCCUGAACCAGCCAAGUCGCGUGAGGGAGUACUGCCCUAUGGGUUGUAAACCUCUUUUGUCGGGGAGCAAAAGCCGGACGUGUCCGUCUGUGAGAGUACCCGAAGAAAAAGCAUCGGCUAACUCCGUGCCAGCAGCCGCGGUAAUACGGAGGAUGCGAGCGUUAUCCGGAUUUAUUGGGUUUAAAGGGUGCGCAGGCGGAUUUUUAAGUCAGCGGUCAAAUCGUGGGGCUCAACCCCAUCCAGCCGUUGAAACUGGGGAUCUAGAGUGUGCGAGAGGUAUGCGGAAUGCGUGGUGUAGCGGUGAAAUGCAUAGAUAUCACGCAGAACCCCGAUUGCGAAGGCAGCAUACCGGUGCACAACUGACGCUCAGGCACGAAAGCGUGGGUAUCGAACAGGAUUAGAUACCCUGGUAGUCCACGCAGUAAACGAUGAAUGCUACCUGUUUGGCCAGAUUGAAGGCUGAGCGGGACAG
This 714-nucleotide ribosomal RNA is filed under the name uncultured bacterium. RNAcentral's name for it is "bacterial SSU rRNA". It matches the Rfam family "Bacterial small subunit ribosomal RNA", at positions 136 to 851 of the family's 1533-position model. The record is from RNAcentral.